GAUGAACGCUGGCGGCGUGCCUAAUACAUGCAAGUCGAGCGAACAGAUAAGGAGCUUGCUCCUUUGACGUUAGCGGCGGACGGGUGAGUAACACGUGGAUAACCUACCUAUAAGACUGGGAUAACUUCGGGAAACCGGAGCUAAUACCGGAUAACAUAUUGAACCGCAUGGUUCAAUAGUGAAAGGCGGCUUUGCUGUCACUUAUAGAUGGAUCCGCGCCGUAUUAGCUAGUUGGUAAGGUAACGGCUUACCAAGGCAACGAUACGUAGCCGACCUGAGAGGGUGAUCGGCCACACUGGAACUGAGACACGGUCCAGACUCCUACGGGAGGCAGCAGUAGGGAAUCUUCCGCAAUGGGCGAAAGCCUGACGGAGCAACGCCGCGUGAGUGAUGAAGGUCUUCGGAUCGUAAAACUCUGUUAUCAGGGAAGAACAAAUGUGUAAGUAACUGUGCACAGCUUGACGGUACCUGAUCAGAAAGCCACGGCUAACUACGUG
Molecule: ribosomal RNA, 497 nt
Filed under: uncultured bacterium
Lineage: Bacteria
Description: partial 16S ribosomal RNA
Rfam family: Bacterial small subunit ribosomal RNA
Source: RNAcentral